AUGUCUGAGAACCCAUUGCAGGCACUGUUCCAAACAUUUGCAAAACUCUCGAACACAGUUCAGGCCCACCUCUCUAAUCUCAUACCCCAACCUCCUCACCACUCCACUUCACCCAUCACCAAAACCCCCUCAAUCUCCAUCUCCUCCUCUUCCAAAGUUACCCCAUCACCCAAUGACUCCUCCCAUGAUCCCAUCAACAAGGGGCAAUCAGCUGGUCCUGUGACGAAAGAAGGGCUGGGAAGAGCUACUUGGACUUUUCUUCACACUCUUGCUGCUCAGUAUCCAGAUAAUCCAACAAGGCAACAGAAGAAGGACGUAAAAGAAUUGAUGUCAAUAUUAUCACGAAUGUACCCUUGCAAGGAAUGUGCAGAUCAUUUUCAAGAAAUUCUUAGAUCUAAUCCUGUACAGGCUGGAUCUCAUGCUGAAUUUUCCCAGUGGCUAUGUCAUGUGCAUAAUACUGUUAAUAGAAGCCUUAACAAAGUGGUAUUCCCUUGUGAACGCGUUGAAGCAAGGUGGGGCAAGUUGGAAUGUGAACAGCGUGCUUGCGACAUACUAGGAAGUACCACAAAUUUCUGGAAAUAGAUCAUGUCAAAGUACUUUCUGGGGUUGGAUUGGAUGAUUGAAGUUGAUAGCAGUGUGGAUGACUGAAGUAGAAUUGGAUAGUUAGAAAUGGUAGUAUAAUGGUAUUAAGCCAGUUUGUUGAACCUGCAAGCAACAGAGGGUUAUUAAGCAUCAUUUUCCUUUCAUUUUCCAUUUUAAGGCUACAUCAUGCAAAUUUGGUAAAAGUAGUCCAUAGGCUAUUCCACAUCGACUGUGUUUUCGCU
RNA transcript from Argentina anserina (silverweed cinquefoil), 824 nucleotides. It is a transcript of the gene named FAD-linked sulfhydryl oxidase ERV1, with no coding region annotated. The transcript is spliced from 7 exons. Lineage: Eukaryota; Viridiplantae; Streptophyta; Magnoliopsida; Rosales; Rosaceae. The record is from RefSeq and is a predicted model, not a curated record.